RNAcentral lists this ribosomal RNA (253 nucleotides) under uncultured bacterium. Its description in RNAcentral is "partial 16S ribosomal RNA". It matches the Rfam family "Bacterial small subunit ribosomal RNA", at positions 524 to 776 of the family's 1533-position model. The record is from RNAcentral.
UACGGAGGGUGCAAGCGUUAAUCGGAAUUACUGGGCGUAAAGCGCACGUAGGUGGCUGAGUCAGUCGAUUGUGAAAGCCCUGGGCUUAACCUGGGAAUUGCAGUCGAUACUACUCAGCUAGAGUAUGGGAGAGGGUAGUGGAAUUCCCGGUGUAGCGGUGAAAUGCGUAGAUAUCGGGAGGAACAUCAGUGGCGAAGGCGGCUACCUGGCCCAAUACUGACACUCAGGUGCGACAGCGUGGGGAGCAAACAGG